This 245-nucleotide ribosomal RNA is filed under the name uncultured Gemmatimonas sp. Its description in RNAcentral is "partial 16S ribosomal RNA". It matches the Rfam family "Bacterial small subunit ribosomal RNA", at positions 524 to 768 of the family's 1533-position model. Lineage: Bacteria; Pseudomonadati; Gemmatimonadota; Gemmatimonadia; Gemmatimonadales; Gemmatimonadaceae. The record is from RNAcentral.
UACGGAGGGUGCGAGCGUUGUCCGGAAUCAUUGGGCGUAAAGGGCGCGUAGGUGGCGGGACAAGCGUGCGGUGAAAGCCUGGGGCUCAACCCCGGGUCGGCCGUGCGAACUGUUUUGCUUGAGCACUGUAGAGGCAGGCGGAAUUCCGGGUGUAGCGGUGGAAUGCGUAGAGAUCCGGAAGAACACCGGUGGCGAAGGCGGCCUGCUGGGCAGUAGCUGACACUGAGGCGCGACAGCGUGGGGAG